AUUGAACGCUGGCGGCAGGCCUAACACAUGCAAGUCGAACGCGUGGCGGACGGGUGAAUAAUGUCUGGGACACUGCCUGAUGGGGGGGGAUAACUACUGGAAACGGUAGCUAAUACCGCAUACAAUCAGAUGUGCCCAGAUGGGUUUGGCUCAUGGGUGGGGUAACGGCUCACCAAGGCCGAGAUCCCUAGCUGGUCUGAGAGGAUGACCAGCCACACUGGAACUGAGACACGGUCCAGACUCCUACGGGAGGCAGCAGUGGGGAAUAUUGCACAAUGGGCGCAAGCCUGAUGCAGCCAUGCCGCGUGUAUGAAGAAGGCCUUCGGGUUGUAAAGUACUUUCAGCGGGGAGGCGUUACCCGCAGAAGAAGCACCGGCUAACUCCGUGCCAGCAGCCGCGGUAAUUC
RNAcentral lists this ribosomal RNA (406 nucleotides) under uncultured bacterium. RNAcentral's name for it is "partial 16S ribosomal RNA". It matches the Rfam family "Bacterial small subunit ribosomal RNA", at positions 30 to 526 of the family's 1533-position model. The record is from RNAcentral.